UGCACAAAUGCUUGUGCCUAUGCACGCAUAUUAUUUAAUGUUGGCAAAUAACAACACAAAGUGAAAUAGAGAGUUAGAGAUCAACUAAUGAGAAAUCUAUGCUACUCUGAGACAUUUCAGUGUAGGUGGUACCAACAAAUUAUAUGCAAAUGUCAUCAAUAACGGAUAUGCAAUUCGUUUUUCGUCAAUUAGAGCGAGUCAAACGAAAGUUGUGUGAAAAUUAUUGCGCUUUGUAAAUUGUUGAAUAAAAACUUAAAUUGUGUGUUUAUUUAGUGUUUUUAAAUGUGAAAAAGUAGUGCAAGUGAUUUGUGAGAUUAGUGUAAAUAGUUAAAUUGUGUACAAAGUGCAAAAUAGUGAUUAAACGUACAUAUUUGCAGAUUUACAAUCGAGCCUCUUGUGGUUACUACAAAGUGUCGCCGUGUUCAUUCAUUUUGAAGGUCAAGAUUUAAGCGUAGCUGUGAAAAAAAUGCGAAUUACAAUCGAGCCUUUUGUAGUUACUACAAAGUGUCACCGUGUUCAUUCAUUUUGAAGGUCAAGAUUUAAGCCUACCUGUGAGAAAAAUGCGCUCCAGCGAUUUAAAAUCGUGAACGGCUUUAGUUUGUUCCAAAGAAUCUGUCACUCACCUGGAAUGUCGGCAAGUCCAGCACAGCCAUGGAGACCAGUAGAUUGAAAGUGGCUGCCGCCAAUGAAACCGUACGCGGCGGAAUGCAUUCACCUGCAGAAUAAGAGAUGUGUAUAAACAAAAAGAAUACAAACUGAAAAUUAUAAAAAAGAAACAAUCGAAGACAAGGCUCUCAAGAAUCUUAUCUUAUGUAUAUGCUACAUAAGAUGCAUUUGCACUAGCCGGAUAUGACGCUAAUAAAAAACAUUAAAGGGUAAAAUCACUAAUUUCCGCCUUCGCGUACAACUCACGUCGCGUUCACACGCACACACACAGACACAUAAGUAUUCGACAGACAGAAAGCCAAUCAACUGUUAAAUGCACUUUGCACUCGAUUAGAAUGUACUUAGACGAAUGAGUGUGCGAAAGAUGCACGCACUAAAGAGAAUGCAAUAAAUCACGAAAUCGUAGAGGAAAGCAGCACAAUGAAUCACAGACAAGCGGCAUUUACUCACCGAUUGGCACCACGCACGCGUAGAGCAUCGAUACCGAACCGAAAAGUUCCGUGGAUUUUGCUGCGC
Molecule: long non-coding RNA, 1182 nt
Organism: Bactrocera tryoni
Lineage: Eukaryota; Metazoa; Arthropoda; Insecta; Diptera; Tephritidae
Exons: 5
Source: RefSeq, a predicted model, not a curated record